GGGAUAUGAGGAGUGGUUGGAUCUCGCGAUCUCAAUGCGAGUUGGGUGUCCACCCCAAGCCUGGUUACGACAAUUUGGGCACUCUCACUGUCACCGAUCUGAUCCC
Prosopis cineraria is the source of this 106-nucleotide small nucleolar RNA. RefSeq annotates it as small nucleolar RNA Z279/snoR105/snoR108. The transcript has a single exon. The record is from RefSeq and is a predicted model, not a curated record. Lineage: Eukaryota; Viridiplantae; Streptophyta; Magnoliopsida; Fabales; Fabaceae.